Molecule: ribosomal RNA, 418 nt
Filed under: uncultured Rhizobium sp.
Lineage: Bacteria; Pseudomonadati; Pseudomonadota; Alphaproteobacteria; Hyphomicrobiales; Rhizobiaceae
Description: bacterial SSU rRNA
Rfam family: Bacterial small subunit ribosomal RNA
Source: RNAcentral
AGAGUUUGAUCCUGGCUCAGAACGAACGCUGGCGGCAGGCUUAACACAUGCAAGUCGAGCGCCCCGCAAGGGGAGCGGCAGACGGGUGAGUAACGCGUGGGAAUCUACCCUUGACUACGGAAUAACGCAGGGAAACUUGUGCUAAUACCGUAUGUGUCCUUCGGGAGAAAGAUUUAUCGGUCAAGGAUGAGCCCGCGUUGGAUUAGCUAGUUGGUGGGGUAAAGGCCUACCAAGGCGACGAUCCAUAGCUGGUCUGAGAGGAUGAUCAGCCACAUUGGGACUGAGACACGGCCCAAACUCCUACGGGAGGCAGCAGUGGGGAAUAUUGGACAAUGGGCGCAAGCCUGAUCCGGCCAUGCCGCGUGAGUGAUGAAGGCCCUAGGGUUGUAAAGCUCUUUCACCGGAGAAGAUAAUGACG